Molecule: ribosomal RNA, 462 nt
Filed under: uncultured bacterium
Lineage: Bacteria
Description: partial 16S ribosomal RNA
Rfam family: Bacterial small subunit ribosomal RNA
Source: RNAcentral
CCUACGGGUGGCAGCAGUGAGGAAUAUUGGUCAAUGGACGCAAGUCUGAACCAGCCAAGUAGCGUGCAGGAUGACGGCCCUCCGGGUUGUAAACUGCUUUUAGUUGGGAAUAAAAGGGGGCUCGGGAGCCCCGUAUUGUAUGUACCAUCAGAAAAAGGACCGGCUAAUUCCGUGCCAGCAGGCGCGGUAAUAAGGAGGGUCCGGGCGGGAUCCGGAUUUAUUGGGAUUGAGGGGAGCGUAGGCCGGCUUUUAAGUAAGCUGUGAAAGUCGGCGGAUCAACGGGGGAAGUGCAGGUGAAACUGGAGGCCUUGAGGGAACACAGGGAUGCCGGAAUUCAUGGUGUAGCGGGGAUAUGCUUAGAGAUCAUGAAGAGCUCCGAUCGCGAGGGCAAGUGUCCGGGGUGCAACUGACGCUGAGGCGCGAAAGUGCGGGUAUCAAACAGGAUGAGAUACCCCUGUAGUC